Molecule: long non-coding RNA, 1302 nt
Filed under: Homo sapiens (human)
Lineage: Eukaryota; Metazoa; Chordata; Mammalia; Primates; Hominidae
Description: uncharacterized LOC116435278, transcript variant 2 (LOC116435278)
Source: RNAcentral
AGCCGCUCAGCCCACCCGACAGACAGCACCAGUGCCCAGUGGCAGCCAGCCCCAUGCAGAUGAAAGAAAAAGGCACAGCCCAGGGCGGAUGCUUCUGAGGUGCAGGUGCCUGUCUGUCAUCGGGCAGGAGCCCGCAGGUGGACAGCAUGGGGCCCGCACACCUGGGGACCGGGCGAGGGGUGUGGAGCGCCGUGGGGCACCCUGCAGCAUCGGGUACAUCUGCGUGUGGACAGCAGGACAUCAAGAGUCGAAAAGGUAAAAUUUACAGUGGAAUUCACAGAUCUUAACAGUUCCGUGAGAUGAGUUCUGAGACGUGCACACACCUGCGUCUCCCAAACCCUCACCGGGAAUAUUGUCAGCCCCUGUGGAGCACAGUAAAGAGAUUUAUCAAAGAACUGAAAACAGAACUCAUCCAGCAAUCCCACUGCCCCAGUAAAGAGAUUUAUCAAAGAACUGAAAACAGAACUCAUCCAGCAAUCCCACUGCCGGGCAGCUACUCGAAGGAAAUGAUUACAUCAAAAAGACACCUGCACGUGCACGUCCAUCACAGCACCAUUCACAACAGCAAAGACACGGAAUCAGCCUAGGGCUCCACCAACAGACGGCUGGAGAAAGAGAAUGUGGUGCAUAUACACGAUGGAGUACUAUUCAGCCAUGAAAAAGUGUAAAAUUGUGCCCUUUGCAGGAACGUGGAUGGAACGGGAGAACAUAGUGCUGAGUCAAACAGUUCAGAAACAGAAGGACAAAGAGCACGUGUCCUCACUUACAGGUGGGAGCUAAAUGAUGUGUGCACGUGGACACAGAGUGGGGAACACUCACCCGUGGAUGCUCAGGAGGGUGGGGCGAGGGAUGAGAAAGUUCCCGGUGCGUUUGAUGUACGCUCUCUGGUGAUGGCUACACUGACAGCCCCGACUUCACCACUACACAGUGUUUCCAUGUAACUGCACUUGUACCCCUUAUAUUUACAAAUAAAAAAUAGGCCAGGCACAGGUGGCUCACGCCUGUAAUCCCAACACUUCAAGAAGCCAAGACAGGAAGAUGAGUUGAGCCUAGGAGUUCAAGACCGGCCUGGGCAACAUAGCGAGACCUCAUGUCUACAAAAAGUACAAGAUUAGCCAUGCGUGGUGGCACGUGCCUGUAGUCCCAGGUACUCGGGAGGCUAAGGUGGGAGGACGGCUUGAGCAUGGGAAGUUGAGGCUGCAGUGAGCUGUGAUCACCCCCCUGCACUGCAGCCUGGGCGACACAGCAAGGCCCUGUCUCAAAAAUUAAUUGAUUUAAUUAAAUAAUAAUAACGAUACAACC